RNAcentral lists this unclassified non-coding RNA (194 nucleotides) under uncultured fungus. RNAcentral's name for it is "sequence contains ITS1, 5.8S rRNA gene". The record is from RNAcentral. Lineage: Eukaryota; Fungi.
UCGAGUUAGGGUCCUCUGGGCCCGACCUCCAACCCGUUGUCUACCUUACCUCUUGUUGCCUCGGCGGGCCCGUCAGCCCCCUUUUAGGGGGCGACCGCCGGAGGGUUUACGCCCUCUGGCCCGCGCCUGCCGGUGGCCCUUUAACUAAAAUUAUUGUUGAAUCGUGUCGUCUGAGUUGAGAAAUCAAUAAUCAA